CCGCCGCCAGCGCCAGGCCCCCGCCGCCGCCGACUCGGCGCUCACUUUAAUACUGCGCGGGGCCCCGGCGCCCAGGGGCGCCUCGCUCCCCGCCCCCUCCCCAUCCCAUCGGGGCCCUUGGCCUGGGGACCCCCGCCCCGGCUUUGUGUGGUGGCCUCGUCACCGGCGCUGCCCCUGGCACGUCACAAAUCCGGCCGGCCCGUCGCCCCCGCCUGCGAGACGGAGUUCCUCUUUCCAACCUGAUUACCCCGCACGACCUGGCUGGCCUGUCCUCUGCGGACUCCCGUUACCCUGGAGUUCUUAAAGGCGUUAAGCUGUUUUCCAGCUUGGUUGCAGGACUCUGAGAAACUAACUGAAGAAUUGCGGCUUUUUCCUUUGAUUCAUGCACCAAGAUUUGUUGCAUUCGCAAAAGGAUAAGAGAGCAACCAGGAUCACGUCUGCUCCAGGAUCAACUCCUGCGUGCUGUCUAUAGGCCCUGCAUAGUCUCUGGCAAUGGCUUUCAGCUGAGAAUGAAAUCAGAGCUUAGAAUCCACCAU
Molecule: long non-coding RNA, 536 nt
Organism: Lontra canadensis (Northern American river otter)
Lineage: Eukaryota; Metazoa; Chordata; Mammalia; Carnivora; Mustelidae
Exons: 5
Source: RefSeq, a predicted model, not a curated record